UACGUAGGGAGCAAGCGUUGUCCGGAAUCAUUGGGCGUAAAGAGCGCGUAGGCGGCCGUGUAAGUCCGUUCUGAAAGUCGGAGGCUCAACCUCCGAAAGCGGAUGGAUACUGCACGGCUAGAGUCCGGAAGAGGCGAGUGGAAUUCCUGGUGUAGCGGUGGAAUGCGCAGAUAUCAGGAGGAACACAAACGGCGAAGGCAGCUCGCUGGGACGGUACUGACGCUGAGGCGCGAAAGCGUGGGGAGCAAACAGG
Molecule: ribosomal RNA, 253 nt
Filed under: uncultured bacterium
Lineage: Bacteria
Description: partial 16S ribosomal RNA
Rfam family: Bacterial small subunit ribosomal RNA
Source: RNAcentral